AUGCCGCGUGCAGGAUGACAGCCCUAUGGGUCGUAAACUGCUUUUAUAUGGGAAGAAACCCCUUCACGUGUGAAGGGCUGACGGUACCAUAUGAAUAAGCACCGGCUAACUCCGUGCCAGCAGCCGCGGUAAUACGGAGGGUGCAAGCGUUAUCCGGAUUUAUUGGGUUUAAAGGGUCCGUAGGCGGAUCAUUAAGUCAGUGGUGAAAUCCGACAGCUCAACUGUCGAACUGCCAUUGAUACUGAUGAUCUUGAGUACGGUUGAAGUAGGCGGAAUAUGACAUGUAGCGGUGAAAUGCUUAGAUAUGUCAUAGAACACCGAUUGCGAAGGCAGCCUACUAAGCCGUUACUGACGCUGAGGGACGAAAGUGUGGGGAGCGAACAGGAUUAGAUACCCUGGUAGUCCACACCGUAAACGAUGAUUACUCGGUAUUGGCUUUAUUGUCAGUGCCCAAGCGAAAGUGAUAAGUAAUCCACCUGGGGAGUACGGUCGCAAGAUUGAAACUCAAAGGAAUUGACGGGGGCCCGCACAAGCGGUGGAGCAUGUGGUUUAAUUCGAUGAUACGCGAGGAACCUUACCAGGGCUUAAAUGUAAGUUGCAUUAGUUAGAGAUAGCUAUUUCUUCGGACCACUUACAAGGUGCUGCAUGGUUGUCGUCAGCUCGUGCCGUGAGGUGUCAGGUUAAGUCCUAUAACGAGCGCAACCCCUGUCGUUAGUUGCCAGCAAGUUAAGUUGGGCACUCUAGCGAGACUGCCAGUGCAAACUGUGAGGAAGGUGGGGAUGACGUCAAAUCAUCACGGCCCUUACGUCCUGGGCCACACACGUGCUACAAUGGUAGGUACAGAGAGCAGCCACUGCGCGAGCAGGAGCGAAUCUACAAAACCUAUCUCAGUUCGGAUCGGAGUCUGCAACUCGACUCCGUGAAGUUGGAAUCGCUAGUAAUCGGAUAUCAGCCAUGAUCCGGUGAAUACGUUCCCGGGCCUUGUACACACCGCCCGUCAAGCCAUGGAAGCUGGGGGUACCUGAAGUCGGUCACCGCAAGGAGCCGCCUAGGGUAAAACUGGUAACUAGGGCUAAGUCGUAACAAGGUAGCCGUACCGGAAGGUGCGGCUG
Molecule: ribosomal RNA, 1112 nt
Filed under: marine metagenome
Description: bacterial SSU rRNA
Rfam family: Bacterial small subunit ribosomal RNA
Source: RNAcentral